RNAcentral lists this long non-coding RNA (485 nucleotides) under Pogona vitticeps (central bearded dragon). RNAcentral describes it as "lncRNA (ENSPVIG00000020288.1)". Lineage: Eukaryota; Metazoa; Chordata; Lepidosauria; Squamata; Agamidae. The record is from RNAcentral.
GGUAUUUUGGUAUUUUACCGUUUUUUACUGUGGCAUUUGAUCCUUUUUUAGUAUUUGCAUGCUUACUGUUUUUAGCUUCAAAUAUUGUUCUUUUAAUGAUGGAAACCGCCUUGAGGAGAAAGGCGGAGUAAAAAAAAUAUUUAAAAUAAAAUAGAUAAAUCGUGAGGGAAAGCCUAUCAUUUUUUUUCUUUCGCCACCUAGUGGUGGAAAGGAGAAGUUCCCUGGGUGGGGAAAAGCUCCCACGGAGCAUGCUCAGAUCGGUUCUUGUCGCUCAGGUGGGGGGGAGAGAAGAUGGCCGCCGGUUUGGGCAAACAGAAACCCUGCAAGCCACGCAGGUAUUCCCGACAGCGGUGAAGGUUGGUGGCGGCGCAUCUCAUUGCCAAUCAGUGAUGAACUGGGCAUGGGCAGGAUUCUGGGCAGGACUUAUGUAGACUUCAAAGCCAGCUACUCCGACAGCGUAUCGGAAUAGCCCAUCAGUGGAUGAU